AGACAGCAGUCGCCACGGUAAUACGUAGGGCGCAAGCGUUAUCCGGAAUUAUUGGGCGUAAAGAGCUCGUAGGCGGUUUGUCGCGUCUGCCGUGAAAGUCCGGGGCUCAACCCCGGAUCUGCGGUGGGUACGGGCAGACUAGAGUGAUGUAGGGGAGACUGGAAUUCCUGGUGUAGCGGUGAAAUGCGCAGAUAUCAGGAGGAACACCGAUGGCGAAGGCAGGUCUCUGGGCAUUAACUGACGCUGAGGAGCGAAAGCAUGGGGAGCGAACAGGAUUAGAGACCCCCGUAGUCCCUGUCUCUUAUAC
RNAcentral lists this ribosomal RNA (307 nucleotides) under uncultured bacterium. RNAcentral's name for it is "partial 16S ribosomal RNA". It matches the Rfam family "Bacterial small subunit ribosomal RNA", at positions 506 to 807 of the family's 1533-position model. The record is from RNAcentral.